Mesocricetus auratus (golden hamster) is the source of this 412-nucleotide non-coding RNA. The record is from the annotation of a RefSeq genome assembly. Lineage: Eukaryota; Metazoa; Chordata; Mammalia; Rodentia; Cricetidae.
GCAAGGACUGAAUCAGAAGUGGGCUUCCAGCAUGGUAAGGGCAUACUUGCUGCGGAUGCUCUUGGUUUCCACCUCUCUUGGAGCCAGCAUGGCCCAGACAGUCACUCAGCUUCAGCAGGAAAAGUCCGUGCAGGAGGCAGAGUCGGCAACCCUGGAGUGCACCUACGACACAAGUGAUACUAAUUAUAACUUGUUCUGGUAUAGACAGCAAAGAGGGCAGAUGACUCUCGUUAUUCGCCAAGAAGCUUAUAAGCAGCAGAAUGCAACGGAAAACCACUUCUCCGUGAAUUUCCAGAAAGCAGCGAAGUCCUUCAGCCUGGAGAUCUCAGACUCGCAGCUGGAGGAUGCUGCAAUGUAUUUCUGUGCACUCAUGGAGAGGGGCACAGUGACACAGGCAACAGAGAGGGGCUAA